Molecule: ribosomal RNA, 369 nt
Filed under: Aspergillus clavatonanicus
Lineage: Eukaryota; Fungi; Ascomycota; Eurotiomycetes; Eurotiales; Aspergillaceae
Description: LSU rRNA
Rfam family: Eukaryotic large subunit ribosomal RNA
Source: RNAcentral
GGGGUGUCUUAUAGCCGAGGGUGCAAUGCGGCCUGCCUGGACCGAGGAACGCGCUUCGGCUCGGACGCUGGCGUAAUGGUCGUAAAUGACCCGUCUUGAAACACGGACCAAGGAGUCUAACAUCUACGCGAGUGUUCGGGUGUCAAACCCGUACGCGCAGUGAAAGCGAACGGAGGUGGGAGCCCCCUCGCGGGGCGCACCAUCGACCGAUCCUGAUGUCUUCGGAUGGAUUUGAGUAAGAGCGUAAAUGUGGGGACCCGAAAGAUGGUGAACUAUGCCUGAAUAGGGCGAAGCCAGAGGAAACUCUGGUGGAGGCUCGCAGCGGUUCUGACGUGCAAAUCGAUCGUCGAAUUUGGGUAUAGGGGCGAA